Molecule: long non-coding RNA, 1728 nt
Organism: Melospiza melodia melodia
Lineage: Eukaryota; Metazoa; Chordata; Aves; Passeriformes; Passerellidae
Exons: 3
Source: RefSeq, a predicted model, not a curated record
GUGAGUUUUUCACGUUCUCUUUAAUUGCUGUGCUGAUCUGAAUAAGAAAAAAACAAAAGCAAGAGGGAAAAAAAAGGAUGGUUUAUUAUUUUUUACGCUGUUAUGUUUGUUUCCUCAGUAUUUGCUGCAGCUCUGCUUACCCAAGCUUUGUGUUCCUUCUGUCCCACUGGGAGUUGCCCAGUUUGGUUGCAUCUGGUGAAAUUCACCCUGAGACCUUACACAACUAGCUCAAACUACGUGAGAGCCAUUUGCAGUUCUCUCCAGACACCUGGAGAAUGGGUGACGUUUCUGAGGGUCUGGCAAGUGUACUUCUAUCAAAACUCAGUCUGUGAAGUUUCUGGGGAAAACCCUUCUGUGUCCUGAAGGGUUCAAACUCCUGUGAGGAUCCAUUUAUCAGGUGCUCACCUGGAUGGUUCCAGCUCUUAAAGUGAACACUUGUACUCUUACCCUGUAGUUUACAUCUAUUGUAUUUUUGUUAUUUUGCAAGAUUUUUUGUCUUUGCAAAAUAUUGUGCAUUUCACUCUUUGGAACCUCUCAGAUGGUUCUUUGGUGCAGCACCACCCCAUGGGACACUUGGCUGCUGUCCUGAAGGGGAUGGUCGCUAGAAUUGUAAAUUCUGGAGAGUUUAUAAGUCUUCUGUCCCCAGGGAGGUACCAUGCUUUGUUUACUUUUGUUCUGUUUGUUAGGCGCUGCUUCUCGUUGCAAGUAUGAAUUUCAAACUGCCCUGUUCUUAUUUUAACUGUUUUCCUGGUUCUCUCCGUCCGACAGGGAAAGACUCUCAUAUCCUCGUCGUCGGGCUCGGUGCUGUCCAAGAAGAUACAGAGACUAAAAAAAUCAUAAGAAGCAAAAUACGACUGCAGGGAAAAGAAGCUGGAGAGAACAGAAGAAAUGGAAUUGGGACGACGCCUCGGCCAGCCCCUCUCUGCCAUCGUCUCCUGAAUCUGCAGCAGAGCAGUUCCAGUCCAUCCGGGCACGUGCAAUCCAGUUCCUGAUGAUCUGAGCACACGGAGCAGCGCUCAGCUGCUGUGGGGGGCUCAGGGAAGGCAGUGUGUGCAUUGUCAUCUUCCUGAACCUACAGACAAAUCAAAACCCUCAGUGAGCAGAAUUUGUUGCAGACUCAGUGCACGCUGUGCCGGCCUCCCGGGAGUGUGAGGAGCUCAUGUGUGCUACUUUUUGCUUUAGGACGCUCUGAGGUAUUUAUUCCUUUUGGGAUACGUGAUGAGAAUUCCCAAGAGAGGUAGUUAUAAGGUAUGACAUUGGGAAAAAGCCUGUGUGGUUGGAAUGUUGUUGCUGUCAAAAGUUAAUUUUUCCUUCAUUCUUAGCCAGUAGUUAGCUUUUUGCUUUAUUUUUGUGGUAUCAGUAUUUUAUUGUUUAAAAAAUUCCUUCAAAAUAACUUCAGUGGUCGCCCACCAGUACCUUGUUCAGAUUUGCCUAUUUGCUUGUAGCUGAAAUGUUCACAUCUUGAUUAUCAUUCUAUUUAAGAAACUGCUGCCCAGCCAACUAAUAACUGAAUAUCCAUCUGUCUAGGACACGGGGAGAGGAUUUAGGUAAUGUCUUUGUUUCCAGAAAAAAGUUCCAGUGUACUUUCUAAACAGAGGAGAAGGGGGUGAAGACUCUGGGCUCUGAUGCCGUUGGGGCACCCCAAGGUCCCCAGGAGAGGGAGCCCCACUGCGGUGCAGGAGCAGGUGUGUUCUCAUCUAAUAUUGAACAAAUUAUAAAUAUGAAAAU